Molecule: ribosomal RNA, 424 nt
Filed under: uncultured bacterium
Lineage: Bacteria
Description: partial 16S ribosomal RNA
Rfam family: Bacterial small subunit ribosomal RNA
Source: RNAcentral
AAUUUUGGACAAUGGGGGAAACCCUGAUCCAGCAAUGCCUCGAGCAGGAUGAAGUCCUUCGGGUUUUAAACUGCUUUUGUACGGAACGAAAUGUCUUGGGCUAAUAUCCUGGGAUCUUGACGGUACCGUAAGAAUAAGCACCGGCUUACUACGUUCCAGCAGCCGCGGUAAUACGUAGGGUGCAAGCGUUAAUCGGAAUUACUGGGCGUAAAGCGUGCGCAGGCGGUUUUGUAAGACAGUGGUGAAAUCCCCGGGCUCAACCUGGGAACUGCCAUUGUGACUGCAAGGCUGGAGUGCGGCAGAGGGGGAUGGAAUUCCGCGUGUAGCAGUGAAGUGCGUAGAUAUGCGGAGGAACACCGAUGGCGAGGGCAAUCCCCUGGGCCUGCACUGACGCUCAUGCACGAAAGCGUGGGGAGCAAACAGG